GACGAACGCUGGCGGCGUGCUUAACACAUGCAAGUCGAACGGUGAAGCGCCUUCCUUUUUGGUGGGUGUGGAUGAGUGGCGAACAGGUGAGUAACACGUGAGUAACCUGCCCCCUUCUUCUGGAUAACCGCAUGAAAGUGUGGCUAAUACGGGAUAUUCUGGGUCUGUCGCAUGAUGGGUCUGGGAAAGAUAUUGUUUCGGUGGGGGAUGGGCUCGCGGCCUAUCAGCUUGUUGGUGGGGUGAUGGCCUACCAAGGCGGUGACGGGUAGCCGGCCUGAGAGGGUGGACGGUCACACGGGGACUGAGACACGGCCCAGACUCCUACGGGAGGCAGCAGUGGGGAAUAUUGCACAAUGGGCGCAAGCCUGAUGCAGCGACGCCGCGUGAGGGAUGGAGGCCUGCGGGUUGUGAACCUCUUUCGCCAGUGAAGCAGGCCUGCCUCGUUUGUGGGUGGGUUGACGGUAGCUGGAUAAGAAGCGCCGGCUAACUACGUG
RNAcentral lists this ribosomal RNA (494 nucleotides) under uncultured bacterium. RNAcentral's name for it is "partial 16S ribosomal RNA". It matches the Rfam family "Bacterial small subunit ribosomal RNA", at positions 28 to 507 of the family's 1533-position model. The record is from RNAcentral.